UUUUUGACCCCUCAAGAGACACAGGUCUACUUUAUAUAUCAUCAAGAAAGUGUUUGAAAAAUAUGAGAUCAAUGAAAAAAAUUCACAAAAUAGAAAAACUUUAAGCUGAUUUGAUUUGCCACCUGAAUAUAUUUUUGGAGCAAAGCUGAAUUACUUUGAAACUGUGAGUAAAAAGUCAUAAU
Long non-coding RNA from Thalassophryne amazonica, 182 nucleotides. RefSeq lists it as uncharacterized. The record is from RefSeq and is a predicted model, not a curated record. The transcript has 3 exons. Lineage: Eukaryota; Metazoa; Chordata; Actinopteri; Batrachoidiformes; Batrachoididae.